GGGAGCUUGCUCCCGGAUGUUAGCGGCGGACGGGUGAGUAACACGUGGGUAACCUGCCUGUAAGACUGGGAUAACUCCGGGAAACCGGAGCUAAUACCGGAUAGUUCCUUGAACCGCAUGGUUCAAGGAUGAAAGACGGUUUCGGCUGUCACUUACAGAUGGACCCGCGGCGCAUUAGCUAGUUGGUGAGGUAACGGCUCACCAAGGCGACGAUGCGUAGCCGACCUGAGAGGGUGAUCGGCCACACUGGGACUGAGACACGGCCCAGACUCCUACGGGAGGCAGCAGUAGGGAAUCUUCCGCAAUGGACGAAAGUCUGACGGAGCAACGCCGCGUGAGUGAUGAAGGUUUUCGGAUCGUAAAGCUCUGUUGUUAGGGAAGAACAAGUGCAAGAGUAACUGCUUGCACCUUGACGGUACCUAACCAGAAAGCCACGGCUAACUACGUGCCAGCAGCCGCGGUAAUACGUAGGUGGCAAGCGUUGUCCGGAAUUAUUGGGCGUAAAGGGCUCGCAGGCGGUUUCUUAAGUCUGAUGUGAAAGCCCCCGGCUCAACCGGGGAGGGUCAUUGGAAACUGGGAAACUUGAGUGCAGAAGAGGAGAGUGGAAUUCCACGUGUAGCGGUGAAAUGCGUAGAGAUGUGGAGGAACACCAGUGGCGAAGGCGACUCUCUGGUCUGUAACUGACGCUGAGGAGCGAAAGCGUGGGGAGCGAACAGGAUUAGAUACCCUGGUAGUCCACGCCGUAACGAUGAGUGCUAAGUGUUAGG
This 767-nucleotide ribosomal RNA is filed under the name Bacillus pumilus. RNAcentral describes it as "bacterial SSU rRNA". It matches the Rfam family "Bacterial small subunit ribosomal RNA", at positions 74 to 827 of the family's 1533-position model. Lineage: Bacteria; Bacillati; Bacillota; Bacilli; Caryophanales; Bacillaceae. The record is from RNAcentral.